AGAAUCAACGCUGGCGGCGUGCCUCAGACAUGCAAGUCGAACGAUUAAACUUCCCUUCGGGGAAGACAUAAAGUGGCGCACGGGUGAGUAACACGUAAGUAAUCUGCCUUUGAGUGGGGAAUAACCCGGGGAAACCCGAGCUAAUACCGCAUAAUGCAGCGGCACCGCAAGGUGACAGUUGUUAAAGGAGCAAUCCGCUUAAAGAGGAGCUUGCGGCAGAUUAGCUAGUUGGUAAGGUAACGGCUUACCAAGGCUACGAUCUGUA
Molecule: ribosomal RNA, 265 nt
Filed under: uncultured soil bacterium
Lineage: Bacteria
Description: partial 16S ribosomal RNA
Rfam family: Bacterial small subunit ribosomal RNA
Source: RNAcentral